RNA transcript from Brassica napus (rape), 1696 nucleotides. It is a transcript of the gene named transcription factor MYB124-like, with no coding region annotated. NCBI's taxonomy places the organism in Eukaryota, Viridiplantae, Streptophyta, Magnoliopsida, Brassicales, Brassicaceae. The transcript is spliced from 6 exons. The record is from RefSeq and is a predicted model, not a curated record.
GAAGAUAUACUCAACAGAGAAGCAUGCCACGUCUUCUUAAAAAAUUAUCCAAUCAGAAUAGUCUUUUUUGACACGUCAUAUAUGACAGAAAUAUAGUGGGUUUUGUUUUUAUGAAAAUUAUCAGUCUGGCCCAUCAGAGCCCAUCUAGAAAACGGAACAUGUAUUAUUUUACGUUUCUGAGUUUUUCUCUGACUCUUCCACUUCAUCUUCACCGAUGUUAGAAUUUUUUUUUGUUUUGCGUAACCUUCUCAAUCAAUGGUGAUCUUAAAACCAUUCUGAAUUUUUGGUUCCACCUCCCCCCUUGAUCCUUCUCCUAUAUAAAACUAUGUAUAAACCUAAAUCCACCCAAAAUCAAAACCUACUCUGAAAUCUUUUGUCUAAACCUAACUGCACGAUCUCUACAUCUACUCCGCCACCGUCAAAUCGAAACUGCAAUUCCCCCGGUAAAAGCUCAGUCGCCGUCGAACCUCCUUCACCGCCGAACCAUCAUCAUCCAGGUUCUUACCACAUGACGUCUCACACCGUUAUCAAUACGUCGAGAAUAUCCGGUAAAGUUUCCGUUGACGGAGAGAUCGUCAAGAAGAUUCGUCGAUCAGUUUUAAUCAAACUGAUAUAAAUGAUUAUGCUAAUUUUUUUACCGUAAUCAAAAGAUUUAUGUGUUAUGUUAGAACCACAAGAGUUUUCUUUAAUAGCUAUGGAUCUUUUGCUAACAGAUGAUAUACAUACAUAAACUCAGAUUUCAAGUGAGGAUGUUUUUCUUCUGAAGAAGCUAUGCUUUUGUGUGAGGCACAACGAGUGUAUGAGAAUAGAUGGACUGAGAUACAAAGGUGGAUUCAGGCAGAAAGGAUAAGGUUGUGAACAACAUGUUUGCGAGACUUUGUAUGAAGAGAGCCAAGCAUGAAACUAUGGCUAGCGAGGACAAAUCAAACAAGAACAGAAUGUUGUUCUUAGAUGGAAGUAGUACUCCCGCGAAUAUAAAACUCCUAUUGCCAAUAGAACAAGGAGCCAGCUCCAUCUGCCCUAGAUUACACAUUCUGUCUCCACGGUGAGUUAUUUAUGACCAUCACAAGGUGGAAACUUUCCUCACUUCCUCAUGGGUUACUGGAGGACAAUCUAAAAAUAUUAGACUGGACAAGCAAAAGUUAACAAUCUUCUUUGACAACCCCAACAUCGGGAAAUCGAAGGAAAAAAGCCUUUUUCUGGGUCAUUUUCAUGCAAAAGGAACCGUCCGUCAGAAAAUAGAAAUCGAGUCUAAGCAGCGCUAGAGUACAACCUAUCAAUAACAGCACGAAGAAUAUUGCUUUAGCCCGCAAGAUGGUUGUUUUAAACACAUGAGGCAAAUGUAAGUUGAAUCAAAAGCCUUUGUAAGCAAUUUAUUAAACGUGAAUUAGUUUUGUCGAAUGUUGAAUCAUCUUUUGCUAAUGUUUGCAAGACGUGGUCUUUAUUUCUGGAUUUGGUCAUAAAAGUCAUGCUGUGGGAGAUAUUUAUGGAGUUAGGUACAAGGUUUCCAGGGUUUCUGUUGUUUCAAUCUCAGCUCUCUACAAGGAAAAGGAGCAGCCAACGUCUUAAAGAAAGCUUCAAAUUUUGAAUUUGAUCUUAAUAUCAUAAGCACUUUUAGGUUGUUUGAAAAACAAAUCUACUUUAUGAUUUGAGAAGUAGGUGUGUUUAACCUUUUUUUUUAAUGAGGUUUUGAGCA